CCGAGUUUACAACUCCCAAACCCCUGUGAACAUACCUUAACGUUGCUUCGGCGGACCACCCUCGCCUCAACCGGCGGGGGCCCGCCAGAGGACCCAAACCCAAACUUUGUGUUUUUUGUCUUGCAAAGCGAACUUCUGAGUGGAUUUUAUAAAUCAAAUCA
This 161-nucleotide unclassified non-coding RNA is filed under the name uncultured Nectria. RNAcentral describes it as "sequence contains ITS1". The record is from RNAcentral. Lineage: Eukaryota; Fungi; Ascomycota; Sordariomycetes; Hypocreales; Nectriaceae.